This is a long non-coding RNA of Eptesicus fuscus (big brown bat), 566 nucleotides long. RefSeq lists it as uncharacterized. The transcript is spliced from 3 exons. Lineage: Eukaryota; Metazoa; Chordata; Mammalia; Chiroptera; Vespertilionidae. The record is from RefSeq and is a predicted model, not a curated record.
GCCGCCGCCGCCGCCUACGUCCCGUAAACUUUCCCCGCGGCCGCUGGGAAUUCUGGGAAACCCGACGCUGCGCGGCCGCCGCGGCCGCCCCGCCCCCACUCUGGCUGGGGCGCGGCUCGGGCUGCGGGACGUCCGCCUGCUCGGAGCUAACGGGUUCCCCGACGGCCGCGGCCGCCUUCGCGACUCCUCAGCGAGGCAGGUCCCGAGGCCGGGAAAGGAGGAGGACGCCGCCGCCCAGGCUGAGCGCGGAGGUCGCGAGCUCAUGCCGCGGAGCCCCGUCUUCCCACGGAUUUUUCCCUCAGGACUUUGAGGGAGCUGGUGACGCCCCCACCCCCACCCCCCCUUCUCCAGAACGCGCCCCCGUCAUCAUCCUGGAGUGCAGACGCCCUUUCGGAGUUUCUUGAUACUGCAACAAAAGAGCCAACUCAUCUCAUGGGGAAGUCUGCCAGGCAAUGGGCCCUGAUCCUUCACACAGACUCCCUCCUUUUCCUGCUGAGUCACUCGGAGAUCGGAUUUAAUCCGGGACAUCUGCAGGUUUACAUUCUGUAGUGUGUCCUCUAAACUCU